AGGUCAGCGUCGUCGUUGCUCGUUGGUGCUCGUCCACUGUCUUUCAUUCGACUAGUGAAGCUCUUUGCCUCUAUCAACAAUAACAUCAUCAGACUCAAACAUUGGCCAUGGUAAACGGUAAGAGUUUAGGUUUAUUAUUUUUUAUUUUUUUUAACUGUGUUGGUGUUAGUUGGGUGAUUUUGAUGUUUGUGUAUUGCUAAGAAUAGUGGAUUUAAUAGGGAAUCCGAAUGUCUUUACCUUUUGUUACAAUUCAAUGUUUUCGAUUUAGAUACCAAUGCCAUAUUAUAUCUGGAGAAGGUCUUUGAUUUUGCAAGCUUCUGCAAACUAAUCUGUUUGAUUAAAUUAUGGUUGUUUGUGUGAACUGAGCUCUCUUGCAAGCAAUUUGCACCAACACUGGUUAGCCCAUAGUGUAGUAUCUCUAUUUUGGUAAAUACUUGAAACUUGAGUAAGGGGGUCUUUUCUAAGUUCUAUCUGUUGGAGCCAUCUGUUGACCCAAUCAUGCGACACUUAAUAGACAUAAAUAGUUUGAAAAGGUGAUGCAAAGAGGCAUGCUCACUUUAGUAUUGGCUGAGGUUUGGACUUUUUUGAUGUGGUUAAUAUUGUAAUUGGUCACUGGUAAAGUUGUAGGAGAGGAAAAAGAAAAAAAAUUUGGUGGGAAGAAAUGUCCUUCAAUUGAAGUAUAAAGCUUGAGUUUGGGAGGAUAAAUAUGUUGUGCAUUUAGGCAAAUCCUGUAGUUGGAGGAACGCUAACCAUUUUUUUUUAAUUCUAUCUUAAACUUUUUCAUGCAAAUUGUUAAAUGGAACUUGAAAGAUAGUAUUUGUAAGCAGUCAAUUCUAUAUGAGGAGUGUGGUAGAAUAAAUUAAGAUGUAAGUUAGAUCAAUGUUUAACAAAUAAAGGAGACAUUUGUUAGCUGUAUAGUGUACAUUUAAUGUGAAUAUCAUCAUUUAGGAUUAUGUCGAUCAUCUCAAUCUAACCACUUUUCAUGUUUGAACUUGCAUAGGAAAAAAACAAAGUGAAGAACAAAAAUGAGAGUGGAACCAUUUUGUUAUGAUUAGGUGUAGCAGCUAUUACAUCACACCCAUUUUUCAUCAGCAAGUGAAGAAAGUAUCUUAAGAUCUUUUCAUGAUGCAUAGCAGUUAUACUUUUCUGUAUUGUAGAACUUUGUUGAGCACAUUAUGCUCCUUGUUCACUUAUCUUUUUCAUUGUUAUUCUCUCAUGUACCAGGCUUGGAAGCCUUGAACUUUCUU
This 1247-nucleotide long non-coding RNA is filed under the name Arachis ipaensis. RNAcentral's name for it is "long non-coding RNA (AIPA_LNC002290)". The record is from RNAcentral. Lineage: Eukaryota; Viridiplantae; Streptophyta; Magnoliopsida; Fabales; Fabaceae.